This is a long non-coding RNA of Helianthus annuus (common sunflower), 1918 nucleotides long. RefSeq lists it as uncharacterized. The record is from RefSeq and is a predicted model, not a curated record. Lineage: Eukaryota; Viridiplantae; Streptophyta; Magnoliopsida; Asterales; Asteraceae. The transcript has 9 exons.
GAUCAUGAUCCGCGCAUUCACUUUUGAAAGCUGUCAUACAAUCCCUGCUUUCUUACAAUCCCCAAAUCUCAUUUCAAAAUUCAAAUCCACAGCUCCCUUCCCUUUUCAUUCUCUCUCCGAUUUUGGAUCUGGAUCUGCUUUGUCUUUGCCUUGCGUUCACCAUAAGCCAGUACUCCAUGGCUAUUCGAGACACCUUCUCUCAGAUGGUUAACAUUGUGGGGGAUGGGGAUGACUAUUUCAGACACCUUCCUCCUGAUGUAACAUGUUAGAGACACCUUAGUCGCCGCAUUUUCGCUUCAAUUCAGCAUAGCUGGUGCUCCAAACGAAUUUCACUCACAACAGUCAUGCAUGAUAUUGGUAACAGGAGGCACAUCCAGAAUGCAGUUUACGGGUUCCUGCAAUUGUGACUGCUCUCGAGAAGGUGGAGCUCACACCUAAGUUUCGAGGAUCUGAGAUCAUUCAACUUCAAGAUUUUAGAACUGCUAUUCGAAGAUAUUGCAAGUGUGCAUUCCAGAUCUUAUGUUUUUGGCCUUGAGAAGACUGAUAAGGCAUCAAAAUUGGAUGAAGCAAUUGAAUAUAUGAAGCAGCUUCAGCUCAGAGUACAGAUGUUAACUAUGAGGAACGGGAUGAAUUUAUAUUCAAUGUUUGUACCACCCGCAUUUGAUCAGUUCGGGAUCUUCGUGUUCUUUCAGGGAAUCUUUGAUGAAUGGUGGUGGAAAUGAGGGGGGUCAGCUAAUGAAUUCACAUCAGAAAUUGGUUCUUCCGGUUGAUAUGGACGGGUAAGCUUCUAUUGGGCCCAGUUGAUAAAUGGUGUUUGCGUGUUUGCUUUUGGUUAUUGGUGCAAUCAUGACCCGUUCUUCAAAUAAUGAGUUAAUUUGGGGAAAAAUUGUAUACGGGUUCAUGUUGGUAAAGAUGGAAUGCUAUUGGAAGCUUUUCCUACCCGAAGAGUUCAUUUUGGUAAAAAUUGUAUACGGGGAAAAAUUGUCGCCACCACCGCUUCUCAUCUCCACCACCGGUCUCAAUCACCACCAUUGAAGAGUUCUAGAGGAGCAAUACAACUUGGGUUACCAACAUGUGCCAGACGCUAGAAGAUAUAUGCCCCGAUAUUGAUAAACUUGUAGGCAAGGUUUAAUGUCGCUAAAACCGCCAUUUUACCGAGAGAUUCAGGAAUUGGACUGGAGAUCCGGUUUAACGAGAGAUCUAGAUCUAAGAGACGGAAGAUGUAGGAUAUCGUGUAUGGAAUCUGACCGUAGAUCCGGUUUCCGGACAAUAAAGCACGGCUGAGCAUCCGAAGCUUCCCGAAGUUUAUAGGCUGAGGAUAUGACAGGAUCUCUACUAAAAGAGUACUUAAUAAAGGAACCAGAUGGCAAUAUUCGUAAUAAAGAAGAAACAGGUGCACCUGUAGACAAAUCACUAGAUGCUGAAGAUUGAAAGAUGCAUCAUUUUGAUAAUGUUGUCAUUGUGGAACCCGCCUCAUUCUGGACUUCAUCCCACUUUGAGUAAUGAUUUUCAGUCAUAUACAUCUGUUUAUAAGUUGGUUUUUGUUUAAGGUUAAUUUUAGGUGACACAAUUGACGCGUAGGACACCAGAUUAUUUCUUAUGAUGCUGAAUUGACAUUUUUCAUGAGACCAACAUGCGACUAACCACUCAUGGAGAAUAAUGCCGGAGUUAAUUUUCUGGACAAAAUCAGUAUGGUCAUUGACAGCUCUACACUAUGCGAUUACAUUUAUAUUGUGUGAUUUCAGUAGGAUAAGGUCAUGUUGUCAUAGUAGAAUUCUUUACAUUUGUUUUAACUGUUGUAAUAUGAUAAUUUAUAUGGUUAAACUAGAGGUGUAUUCGAUUGGUUUUGGGUGCUAGCUGGACCGAAAUGUUUGGUUAUCGGGUUUUUAACUAUUGCAAAUAAAUCAAGAUUUUUGCC